RNAcentral lists this ribosomal RNA (429 nucleotides) under uncultured bacterium. RNAcentral's name for it is "bacterial SSU rRNA". It matches the Rfam family "Bacterial small subunit ribosomal RNA", at positions 917 to 1349 of the family's 1533-position model. The record is from RNAcentral.
GGGCCCGCACAAGCGGUGGAGCAUGUGGUUUAAUUCGAUGAUACGCGAGGAACCUUACCAGGGCUUAAAUGUAACGGGACAGAUCUAGAGAUAGAUCCUUCUUCGGACUCAUUACAAGGUGCUGCAUGGUUGUCGUCAGCUCGUGCCGUGAGGUGUCAGGUUAAGUCCUAUAACGAGCGCAACCCCCAUCGUUAGUUGCCAACGAGUAAUGUCGGGAACUCUAACGAAACUGCCGGUGCAAACCGUGAGGAAGGUGGGGAUGACGUCAAAUCAUCACGGCCCUUACGUCCUGGGCUACACACGUGCUACAAUGGUCGGUACAGAGAGCAGCCACUACGCGAGUAGGAGCAAAUCUUUAAAACCGAUCUCAGUUCGGAUCGCAGUCUGCAACUCGACUGCGUGAAGCUGGAAUCGCUAGUAAUCGGAUAU